UGCCAGCAGCCGCGGUAAUACGGAGGGGGCUAGCGUUGUUCGGAAUUACUGGGCGUAAAGCGCACGUAGGCGGACCAGUCAGUCAGGGGUGAAAUCCCGGGGCUCAACCCCGGAACUGCCUUUGAUACUGCUGGUCUGGAGGACAGGAGAGGCGAGCGGAAUUCCGAGUGUAGAGGUGAAAUUCGUAGAUAUUCGGAGGAACACCAGUGGCGAAGGCGGCUCACUGGCUCGAUACUGACGCUGAGGUGCGAAGGUGUGGGGAGCAAACAGGAUUAGAUA
Molecule: ribosomal RNA, 279 nt
Filed under: uncultured bacterium
Lineage: Bacteria
Description: partial 16S ribosomal RNA
Rfam family: Bacterial small subunit ribosomal RNA
Source: RNAcentral